CCUACGGGAGGCAGCAGUGAGGAAUAUUGGUCAAUGGACGAAAGUCUGAACCAGCCAUGCCGCGUGCAGGAAGACGGCUCUAUGAGUUGUAAACUGCUUUUGUCCAGGGGUAAAACUGAAUACGUGUCUUCAGCUGAAAGUACUGUACGAAUAAGAAUCGGCUAACUCCGUGCCAGACGCCGCGGUAAUACGGAGGAUCCAAGCGUUAUCCGGAUUUAUUGGGUUUAAAGGGUGCGUAGGUGGAUUGAUAAGUUAGAGGUGAAAUGUCCGGGCUUAACUCGGGAACUGCCCCUAAUACUGUUGAUCUAGAGAGUAGAUGAGGUAGGCGGAAUGUAUGGUGUAGCGGUGAAAUGCUUAGAGAUCAGACAGAACACCGAUUGCGAAGGCAGCUUACCAAUCUAUAUCUGACGUUGAGGCACGAAAGCGUGGGGAGCAAACAGGAUUAGAUACCCCUGUAGUC
This 460-nucleotide ribosomal RNA is filed under the name uncultured bacterium. Its description in RNAcentral is "partial 16S ribosomal RNA". It matches the Rfam family "Bacterial small subunit ribosomal RNA", at positions 338 to 795 of the family's 1533-position model. The record is from RNAcentral.